CUUGCUUCUUUGAGACUUAGCGGCGGACGGGUGAGUAACACGUAGGCAACCUGCCCUUUAGCCUGGGAUAACUACCGGAAACGGUAGCUAAUACCGGAUACUUUCUUUUUCUGCAUGGGAGAAGAACGAAAGACGGAGCAAUCUGUCACUGAAGGAUGGGCCUGCGGCGCAUUAGCUAGUUGGUGGGGUAACGGCUCACCAAGGCGACGAUGCGUAGCCGACCUGAGAGGGUGAUCGGCCACACUGGGACUGAGACACGGCCCAGACUCCUACGGGAGGCAGCAGUAGGGAAUCUUCCGCAAUGGGCGAAAGCCUGACGGAGCAACGCCGCGUGAGUGAUGAAGGUUUUCGGAUCGUAAAGCUCUGUUGCCAGGGAAGAACGUCUUGGAGAGUAACUGCUCCGAGAGUGACGGUACCUGAGAAGAAAGCCCCGGCUAACUACGUGCCAGCAGCCGCGGUAAUACGUAGGGGGCAAGCGUUGUCCGGAAUUAUUGGGCGUAAAGCGCGCGCAGGCGGCCGUUUAAGUCCGGUGUUUAAUCCCGAAGCUCAACUUCGGGUCGCACUGGAAACUGGAGGGCUUGAGUGCAGAAGAGGAGAGUGGAAUUCCACGUGUAGCGGUGAAAUGCGUAGAGAUGUGGAGGAACACCAGUGGCGAAGGCGACUCUCUGGGCUGUAACUGACGCUGAGGCG
RNAcentral lists this ribosomal RNA (690 nucleotides) under Paenibacillus hunanensis. RNAcentral's name for it is "bacterial SSU rRNA". It matches the Rfam family "Bacterial small subunit ribosomal RNA", at positions 74 to 753 of the family's 1533-position model. The record is from RNAcentral. Lineage: Bacteria; Bacillati; Bacillota; Bacilli; Caryophanales; Paenibacillaceae.